CCAGGNGGGGUGGCANGGGUUGGUCGGUUCAGGCUUCGGUGUUCGUGGAGGAUGUUUGGGGUUAAGGUCCCCGGCAACCGAGGCGCAACCCCCUAUUCUUUAGGUGGCCAGGCACUUAGGGUGGGCACCUCCUAGAGGAGACUGCCGAGGGAUAACUCGGAGGGAAGGUGGGGACUGACNUCAAAUUCAUGCAUGCCCCUUUAUGUUUUUGGGCUAGCACCACCGUGCUACAAUGGGCUGGUACAGAGGGCAGGCGAUAGAGUGAUCUGGGAGCAAAUCCUAAAAGGCCAGUCCCAGGUUCGGGAUUGUAGGCUGAAACCUCGCCUACAUGAAGCUUGGAGUUGCUAGGUAAUCGUGAAUCAGAAUGUCACGGUGAAUGCGUUGCCCGGGUCUUGUACACACCGCCCGUCACACCAUGGGAAGUUGGGGGCACCCGAAGUGCAGUCGAUAAAGGCUGCCGAAGGUGAAAUCAAUGACUAGGGGUGAAGUCGGUAACAAGGUUAACGCAAGGGGGCGGGAUUUCGUUUUGAGCGAGCUGNGCCAGGGGAUG
Molecule: ribosomal RNA, 550 nt
Filed under: uncultured Bacillota bacterium
Lineage: Bacteria; Bacillati; Bacillota
Description: bacterial SSU rRNA
Rfam family: Bacterial small subunit ribosomal RNA
Source: RNAcentral